GACGAACGCUGGCGGCGUGCCUAAUACAUGCAAGUAGAACGCACAGUUUAUACCGUAGCUUGCUACACCAUAGACUGUGAGUUGCGAACGGGUGAGUAACGCGUAGGUAACCUGCCUGGUAGCGGGGGAUAACUAUUGGAAGCGAUAGCUAAUACCGCAUAAUAUUAAUUAUUGCAUGAUAAUUGAUUGAAAGAUGCAACUGCAUCACUACCAGAUGGACCUGCGUUGUAUUAGCUAGUAGGUGAGGUAACGGCUCACCUAGGCGACGAUACAUAGCCGACCUGAGAGGGUGAUCGGCCACACUGGGACUGAGACACGGCCCAGACUCCUACGGGAGGCAGCAGUAGGGAAUCUUCGGCAAUGGACGAAAGUCUGACCGAGCAACGCCGCGUGAGUGAAGAAGGUUUUCGGAUCGUAAAGCUCUGUUGUAAGAGAAGAACGGGUGUGAGAGUGGAAAGUUCACACUGUGACGGUAUCUUACCAGAAAGGGACGGCUAACUACGUG
RNAcentral lists this ribosomal RNA (505 nucleotides) under uncultured bacterium. Its description in RNAcentral is "partial 16S ribosomal RNA". It matches the Rfam family "Bacterial small subunit ribosomal RNA", at positions 28 to 507 of the family's 1533-position model. The record is from RNAcentral.